UACAGAGGUCUCAAGCGUUGUUCGGAUUCAUUGGGCGUAAAGGGUGCGUAGGUGGCGAGGUAAGUCGGAUGUGAAAUCUCAGGGCUCAACCCUGAAACUGCAUUCGAUACUGCCUUGCUCGAGGACUGGAGAGGAGAUUGGAAUUCACGGUGUAGCAGUGAAAUGCGUAGAUAUCGUGAGGAAGACCAGUGGCGAAGGCGGAUCUCUGGACAGUUACUGACACUGAGGCUCGAAGGCCAGGGGAGCAAACGGG
This 253-nucleotide ribosomal RNA is filed under the name uncultured bacterium. RNAcentral describes it as "partial 16S ribosomal RNA". It matches the Rfam family "Bacterial small subunit ribosomal RNA", at positions 524 to 776 of the family's 1533-position model. The record is from RNAcentral.